GUAACUACCAUAAACUAACCACCAUUAAAGACAAAAACAAAAGCAAAAACAAAAACAAAAACAAUAGAGAAUUAGUAUCUUCCGCAGAAAUAACGUAAAUAAUUAUCUAAACAUAAGGAACAUAAAUACAAUCGCAUGCAAUAAUAUCAUACAGUAACUACCAUAAACUAACAACCAUUGGGGGGACAUAAGCUAAAACACAAAUCAUCUAUGGGUAUCCCUGCUGGCCCACACCCAACCCCGGUUGAGGCGUACGAAGAACUCUAGGAGCCCCUAACCUACAACCCUGAUUCUAGACCUCCAGACUCUCCUAUCAAGGGUCAUGUCCUCACCCUGAUAGAGGCGUGCGAAGAACUAUAGGAGCCCCUAACCUAUAACCCCGAUUCUAGACCUCCAGACUCUCCUAUUAAAUCAAUUAAAUCAUAUCCAUAUUAAUUAAAUAUUUUAUAGGCCAUCUAAAAAACUUUAUAAAAAUUAAACAUAUGUAUUACAGUUGUCUCUA
Molecule: long non-coding RNA, 502 nt
Filed under: Nicotiana benthamiana
Lineage: Eukaryota; Viridiplantae; Streptophyta; Magnoliopsida; Solanales; Solanaceae
Description: long non-coding RNA (NBEN_LNC027416)
Source: RNAcentral